This 240-nucleotide ribosomal RNA is filed under the name uncultured Lactobacillus sp. RNAcentral's name for it is "partial 16S ribosomal RNA". It matches the Rfam family "Bacterial small subunit ribosomal RNA", at positions 122 to 355 of the family's 1533-position model. The record is from RNAcentral. Lineage: Bacteria; Bacillati; Bacillota; Bacilli; Lactobacillales; Lactobacillaceae.
UAACCUGCCCAAGAGAUCGGGAUAACACCUGGAAACAGAUGCUAAUACCGGAUAACAACAGAUGAUGCCUAUCAACUGUUUAAAAGAUGGUUCUGCUAUCACUCUUGGAUUGACCUGCGGUGCAUUAGCUAGUUGGUAGGGUAACGGCCUACCAAGGCGAUGAUGCAUAGCCGAGUUGAGAGACUGAUCGGCCACAUUGGGACUGAGACACGGCCCAAACUCCUACGGGAGGCAGCAGCU